CCGGGAAGAUAACGGUGGCUGCGUCCCGCUUGUGGGCGGGAAGGCCGCAGGUUCGAAUCCUGCUUCCCGGA
This 71-nucleotide transfer RNA is filed under the name Flavobacterium sp. MFBS3-15. Its description in RNAcentral is "tRNA-Thr". The record is from RNAcentral. Lineage: Bacteria; Pseudomonadati; Bacteroidota; Flavobacteriia; Flavobacteriales; Flavobacteriaceae.